ACAACGAAGAGUUUGAUCCUGGCUCAGGAUGAACGCUAGCGACAGGCUUAACACAUGCAAGUCGAGGGGCAGCAUGAUUUGUAGCAAUACAGAUUGAUGGCGACCGGCGCACGGGUGAGUAACGCGUAUGCAACUUACCUAUCAGAGGGGGAUAGCCCGGCGAAAGUCGGAUUAAUACCCCAUAAAACAGGGGUCCCGCAUGGGAAUAUUUGUUAAAGAUUCAUCGCUGAUAGAUAGGCAUGCGUUCCAUUAGGCAGUUGGCGGGGUAACGGCCCACCAAACCGACGAUGGAUAGGGGUUCUGAGAGGAAGG
Molecule: ribosomal RNA, 312 nt
Filed under: Parabacteroides sp.
Lineage: Bacteria; Pseudomonadati; Bacteroidota; Bacteroidia; Bacteroidales; Tannerellaceae
Description: bacterial SSU rRNA
Rfam family: Bacterial small subunit ribosomal RNA
Source: RNAcentral